AACGAACGCUGGCGGCAUGCCUAACACAUGCAAGUCGAACGAUGCCUUCGGGCAUAGUGGCGCACGGGUGCGUAACGCGUGGGAAUCUGCCUUUCGGUUCGGAAUAACUCAGGGAAACUUGAGCUAAUACCGGAUAACGUCGCAAGACCAAAGAUUUAUCACCGAAAGAUGAGCCCGCGUAGGAUUAGCUAGUUGGUGAGGUAAAGGCUCACCAAGGCGACGAUCCUUAGCUGGUCUGAGAGGAUGAUCAGCCACACUGGGACUGAGACACGGCCCAGACUACUACGGGAGGGAGGAGGGGGGAAUAUUGGAAAAGGGGGGAAAGGCUGAACCAGCAAUGCCGCGUGAGUGAUGAAGGCCUUAGGGUUGUAAAGCGCUUUUAACCGGGAAGAUAAUGACGGUACCGGGAGAAUAAGCCCCGGCUAACUCCGUG
This 433-nucleotide ribosomal RNA is filed under the name uncultured bacterium. RNAcentral's name for it is "partial 16S ribosomal RNA". It matches the Rfam family "Bacterial small subunit ribosomal RNA", at positions 29 to 507 of the family's 1533-position model. The record is from RNAcentral.